Lycium barbarum (goji berry) is the source of this 818-nucleotide long non-coding RNA. RefSeq lists it as uncharacterized. The transcript is spliced from 3 exons. The record is from RefSeq and is a predicted model, not a curated record. Lineage: Eukaryota; Viridiplantae; Streptophyta; Magnoliopsida; Solanales; Solanaceae.
CAAAAUAUCAACAUUGAAAGCCCUUUCUUUUCUCCACUGUUUCGGCCAGCCAAGGGGAGAUCCAACCCCAUUUUUUUUUCUUCCCAAAAAUUAUUUCCUUGGUGUUAACCCACUAUAUUGAGGUCCCUAAGUAGCGUGGAAGAGUUGUUCGGGUCAUCCAACCAUUAGUUGUACCCAUUUGCAAACCCUAACUAUUUGGUGGAUUGAAGAAGAAAGACCUUGGGGAGCCCGAGGGGUAAAUUUGGAGUAGCUUUAGAUUGGCUAGCUUGGAAGUGCGUUCGAGGUACAGACGCACAGUUCGGUGACCCCCCAGUGUAGGAUACCCCUUUUGCUGUUGGAGUGCUCCCCUCCCUUCAGAGCACAUCUUUUGGUAUACACUUUUGUUCGCUAUGUUGUAUAUAUUCGUUCAUGGGUACGGCGGGGCCCUGUUCCGCCAUAUGAUUUGUUUGGUCUGUUUAGAGGUCUGUAGAAUUAUUUGUGGGUGUGUGUGCCUACUUCUGUACAGUUGUGUCCAUAUGAUCUUCUUCGUCAUGGCAGCCUUGUCGGCAUGCAUUUUGUAUAUGUUUUUGGGUCGUUGUGCCAUUUGAUAGCCUUGUCGGCUCGCACAUGUAUAUGUUGUGUUUGGGCGAUCCCAUUCGCCGCGGCGGCCGGUCCGCAUAUGUUUACACGUUACUUUGUUAGCCCUGUGUGGCCUUUGUUGGUAUUUGCUGUGUACAGGGUUAUUUUGGAUAGUCCGAAAAACAAAGGAAACUCUGCCGAAAUUUUUCUGGAAAUUGUCUAAAUUUGAAAUAUAGCCUUGAUGGCUUCUGUUAUAUACU